AACGAACGCUGGCGGCGUGGAUAAGACAUGCAAGUCGAACGCUCGUUUCGGAGUAGCAAUAUUCCGGAGCGGGAGUGGCGCAAGGGUGCGUAACACGUGGGUCAUUUGCCGUGAAGCUGGGAACAACUCGUUGAAAGACGAGCUAAUACCCAAUGUGCUCCGCAAGGAGUAAAGCCGGGGACCGCAAGGCCUGGCACUUCACGAUAAGCCCGCGGCCUAUCAGCUAGUUGGCGGGGUAAAAGCCCACCAAGGCUAAGACGGGUAGCUGGUCUGAGAGGACGACCAGCCACACUGGAACUGAGACACGGUCCAGACACCUACGGGUGGCAGCAGUCGAGAAUUUUUCACAAUGGGCGAAAGCCUGAUGGAGCGACGCCGCGUGGGGGAUGAAGGGCUUCGGCUCGUAAACCCCUGUCAUUCGCGAACAAAGGUGCCGGCCUAACAUGCCGUCGCCUGAUAGUAGCGGAAGAGGAAGGGACGGCUAAACUCUGUGCCAGCAGCCG
This 503-nucleotide ribosomal RNA is filed under the name uncultured bacterium. Its description in RNAcentral is "bacterial SSU rRNA". It matches the Rfam family "Bacterial small subunit ribosomal RNA", at positions 29 to 517 of the family's 1533-position model. The record is from RNAcentral.